GUAAAAUCUGUUGCUCCUACAGCAAGGCAGCAGCGGUUCUGACUCCGAGACCGCAAGCAGUUUUUCUGCAAGAGAUGGAGGUUGGGCACCAGAUUAUUGUGGAGCUGGGAGGAGGGGCUUGAGGACAGGACCCCUCGUUGGCUGAUGGAUAAGCAGCUACUGAGAUCAGCAAAGGUAUUAUCAGCACAGCCCUUGUGUGGUGAACAAACGAGCUGCUGCUAUAGGCUGGAGGGCAUCAAGUACGUACCAGGAAAGUUAGGUUUGCUGAAUUAAAGUGGGUCAAACACCUUAUUGCUCUAUGGCAAUAAAUCCACUUGAAAAGAAAAGAAAAGGAGACUUUUUGCCUUUGGAAAAGAGAUGGAGAAAUGUGCAGAAAAGGGCAGAAUGAACAAAUAACAAACACCCCACAAACAAAUAAGCAGAAAUGCUUUUUGUCAUAUAACUGCCCCAUAAGCAAAUUAGAAUGAAUACUCAGUAAAGACUGUAAUAGUGCAACCAUCAUGUAAAGCUUUCUGCCAGCAAAUCAAGAUAUACUGAAUAAACAGGUUGUAAAUUCCAUUAAUUUAACAGGAGAGUGUUUUGCAGAUGCUUCAAACUCUUAAAUUCUUACCUUUUUUUUUUUAUUUAACACGUACACACACAAACACACAUUGCCUCUUCAUUACAGUUUUAAAACUGAUUCACAAACUAAACAAAAACAAUAAUCCAGCUGGACUGGAUUAAGCUCUGUGUUUUCAGCCUGUAUCUGUAUCCGAUCUGCAUAAAAUGAAACCUUAAGGAAGCAAUCCUCUGCAAGACUUUCCUGGGAGUAAGCCACAUUGAACAUAUUAGCAUAUCUUUCUGAGAAAAGCUGCAUAGGACUGCCUGGUAAGAGUGGAAAUCCUAUGUGUGUUUACUAAGAAGCAACUCCAAUCUCCAACUGUGUUUACUCUUAGGUAAGUGUGCAUAAAGGGACGUGGGUGACGCUGUGGGUUAAACCACAGAGCCUAGGGCUUGCCGAUCAAAAG
This is a non-coding RNA of Podarcis muralis (Common wall lizard), 1007 nucleotides long. The record is from RefSeq and is a predicted model, not a curated record. NCBI's taxonomy places the organism in Eukaryota, Metazoa, Chordata, Lepidosauria, Squamata, Lacertidae.